This 557-nucleotide ribosomal RNA is filed under the name Trichoderma harzianum. Its description in RNAcentral is "eukaryotic LSU rRNA". The stretch from base 183 to 336 matches the Rfam family "5.8S ribosomal RNA". Lineage: Eukaryota; Fungi; Ascomycota; Sordariomycetes; Hypocreales; Hypocreaceae. The record is from RNAcentral.
CCCAAUGUGAACGUUACCAAACUGUUGCCUCGGCGGGAUCUCUGCCCCGGGUGCGUCGCAGCCCCGGACCAAGGCGCCCGCCGGAGGACCAACCAAAACUCUUAUUGUAUACCCCCUCGCGGGUUUUUUUUAUAAUCUGAGCCUUCUCGGCGCCUCUCGUAGGCGUUUCGAAAAUGAAUCAAAACUUUCAACAACGGAUCUCUUGGUUCUGGCAUCGAUGAAGAACGCAGCGAAAUGCGAUAAGUAAUGUGAAUUGCAGAAUUCAGUGAAUCAUCGAAUCUUUGAACGCACAUUGCGCCCGCCAGUAUUCUGGCGGGCAUGCCUGUCCGAGCGUCAUUUCAACCCUCGAACCCCUCCGGGGGGUCGGCGUUGGGGAUCGGCCCUGCCUUGGCGGUGGCCGUCUCCGAAAUACAGUGGCGGUCUCGCCGCAGCCUCUCCUGCGCAGUAGUUUGCACACUCGCAUCGGGAGCGCGGCGCGUCCACAGCCGUUAAACACCCAACUUCUGAAAUGUUGACCUCGGAUCAGGUAGGAAUACCCGCUGAACUUAAGCAUAUCA